Magnolia sinica is the source of this 858-nucleotide long non-coding RNA. RefSeq lists it as uncharacterized. The transcript has 4 exons. NCBI's taxonomy places the organism in Eukaryota, Viridiplantae, Streptophyta, Magnoliopsida, Magnoliales, Magnoliaceae. The record is from RefSeq and is a predicted model, not a curated record.
AUUGAAGGCUCAAGUGGACCACACCGUUGGAAAUAGUCGAUAUUAAGUCGUUGCCAUUUAUAUUUGUGUGAUCCACGUGGUCCUUCGAUCUGCCUCCUUUUUUUGUAUCACGCAUAUAAUUAGAUUCUAAAAUGAAUGAAUGGAUUGGAUAAACCAUGUACAUCAUGGUGGGCCCCACGAGCCCAUGACAGGACUGUCCAUGCAAUGGCGGUCCCCAAAAUUUUAGCUCAUUCUUUUGGUAAAAGAAACCUCCGCACACUCCCGCCCUCACUUUCCCUUUCCCUCUCCCUCUCGCCCUCACUUUCCCUCUCUCGCACUCCCUUGCCUUUGCUCGCCCUCGCCCUUCUCUCUCUCUCUCUCUCUCUCUCUCUCUCUCUCUCUCUCUCUCUCUCUCGGCGCAUCGUCUCCAGCAUCAUCUCCAGAUCUGGUGUGGCCAGCAGCCCCCACCCUUCACCUCUUCCCCAACCAGGUUCUUGUAUACAGAGAUUGGAUGUCUUCAGAACAUUCACAAUAGCAAUAGAUGUAGUGGAUACGAACAAUUGCAAGUCGAUGAUUCUACAAGCUUGUUUUUUCUCUCAGGGACAGAUUUUCCUGGCCAAGGAAAAUGCAAAAUGAGACUGAGCUGGAAAUUGCGUCUAUAUAUCACACAGAUGCCAUGUGGGGAUGCAUCAAUGACUUCACCAUUGUCAUCAUUGAGUGAUGAGCCCCAACCAAAAGAGAAUUUGCUGUCUAUACUCAAAGCCCCAGGUUCUAUGGGAUGAUGAUUUAGAUGAAUCGAUUUACACUCCAGGUUAAUUUGUUGGUUUGAGCUAAUCCCUUUUUUUCUUUUACUUUUCUCCAUAAUCUUUCAAAAAGGGA